CCUACGGGCGGCAGCAGUGAGGAAUAUUGGUCAAUGGACGAGAGUCUGAACCAGCCAAGUCGCGUGAAGGAUGACUGCCCUAUGGUUUGUAAACUUCUUUUAUAAAGGAAUAAAACGAGUCACGUGUGCCUUUUUGCAUGUACUUUAUGAAUAAGGAUCGGCUAACUCCGUGCCAGCAGCCGCGGUAAUACGGAGGAUCCGAGCGUUAUCCGGAUUUAUUGGGUUUAAAGGGUGAGUAGAUGGGUUGUUAAGUCAGUUGUGAAAGUUUGGGGCUCAACCGUAAAAUUGCAAUUGAUACUGGCAGUCGUGAGUACAGUAGAGGUAAGUGGAAUUCGUGGUGUAGCGGUGAAAUGCUUAGAUAUCAGGAAGAACACCGAUUGCGAAGGCAGCUUACUAAACUGUGACUGACAUUGAUGAUCGAAAGUGUGGGUAUCAAACAGGAUUAGAUACCCGAGUAGUC
Molecule: ribosomal RNA, 460 nt
Filed under: uncultured bacterium
Lineage: Bacteria
Description: partial 16S ribosomal RNA
Rfam family: Bacterial small subunit ribosomal RNA
Source: RNAcentral